CGAACGAUGAAGCCCAGCUUGCUGGGUGGAUUAGUGGCGAACGGGUGAGUAACACGUGAGUAACCUGCCCUUGACUCUGGGAUAAGCCUGGGAAACUGGGUCUAAUACCGGACAGGAACGUCCACCGCAAGGUGGUUGUUGGAAAGAUUUAUCGGUCAUGGAUGGACUCGCGGCCUAUCAACUUGUUGGUGAGGUAAUGGCUCACCAAGGCGACCACGGGUAGCCGGCCUGAGAGGGUGACCGGCCACACUGGGACUGAGACACGGCCCACACUCCUACGGGAGGCAGCAGUGGGGAAUAUUGCACAAUGGGCGAAAGCCUGAUGCAGCGACCCGCGUGAGGGAUGACGGCCUUCGGGUUGUAAACCUCUUUCAGUAGGGAAGAAGCGAAUGUGACGGUCCUGCAGAAGAAGCACCGGCUAACUACGUGCCAGCAGCCGCGGUAAUACGUAGGUGCGAGCGUUAUCCGGAAUUAUGGGGCGUAAAGAGCUCGUAGCCGUUUGUCGCGUCUGUCGUGAAAGUCCGGGGCUUAACCCCGGAUCUGCGGUGGGUACGGCAGACUAGAGUGCAUAGGGAGACUGGAAUUCCUGGUGUAGCGGUGGAAUGCGCACA
This 611-nucleotide ribosomal RNA is filed under the name Micrococcus sp. GNS13.5g. RNAcentral describes it as "bacterial SSU rRNA". It matches the Rfam family "Bacterial small subunit ribosomal RNA", at positions 63 to 694 of the family's 1533-position model. Lineage: Bacteria; Bacillati; Actinomycetota; Actinomycetes; Micrococcales; Micrococcaceae. The record is from RNAcentral.